UACGUAGGGUGCGAGCGUUAAUCGGAAUUACUGGGCGUAAAGGGCGCGCAGGCGGCCGAUCAAGUCAGGCGUGAAAGCCCCGGGCUUAACCUGGGAAUUGCGCUUGGGACUGGUUGGCUUGAGUUCGGGAGAGGAGAGUGGAAUUCCCAGUGUAGAGGUGAAAUUCGUAGAUAUUGGGAAGAACACCGGUGGCGAAGGCGGCUCUCUGGACCGAUACUGACGCUGAGGCGCGAAAGCGUGGGGAGCAAACAG
This 252-nucleotide ribosomal RNA is filed under the name uncultured bacterium. RNAcentral's name for it is "partial 16S ribosomal RNA". It matches the Rfam family "Bacterial small subunit ribosomal RNA", at positions 524 to 775 of the family's 1533-position model. The record is from RNAcentral.